CUACGGGGUGCUGCAGUGAGGAAUAUUGCACAAUGGAGGAAACUCUGAUGCAGCAACGCCGCGUGGAGGAUGACGCAUUUCGGUGUGUAAACUCCUUUUAUGAGUCAAGAAAAUGACGGUAGCUCAUGAAUAAGCACCGGCUAACUCCGUGCCAGCAGGCCGCGGUAAUACGGAGGGUGCAAGCGUUACUCGGAAUCACUGGGCGUAAAGGACGCGUAGGCGGGAUAUCAAGUCAGGUGUGAAAUCCUACAGCUUAACUGUAGAACUGCACUUGAAACUGGUAACCUAGAGUAUGGGAGGGGGAGAUGGAAUUAGUGGUGUAGGGGUAAAAUCCGUAGAUAUCACUAGGAAUACCUAAAGCGAAGGCGAUCUCCUGGAACAUAACUGACGCUAAGGCGUGAAAGCGUGGGGAGCAAACAGGAUUAGAUACCCCGGUAGUC
This 440-nucleotide ribosomal RNA is filed under the name uncultured bacterium. RNAcentral describes it as "partial 16S ribosomal RNA". It matches the Rfam family "Bacterial small subunit ribosomal RNA", at positions 339 to 795 of the family's 1533-position model. The record is from RNAcentral.